AUGGCCAUGCCCAGCAAGGUGUCAAAGUGGAAGGACACAGAGGCAGUGACUCAUGGCACAGGAAACCUCACUGAGAGUCCUGAUAGCGAAGGCACAGCUGGGAGGCGAGGGCAGGCAGCGCAGGCUGUAGUGGCCUGGUGUGGCAGAGGCUGGGCAAGGUACCGCCACCUCCCUCAGAGCCUCCGCUGUCUUUUAAGUAGGUUUAAAAGCACAUUACUCACCAGGAAGAAGAUAAUAAAGGAAAAAAAUAAAGGAAAAAAAAAAAAAAAAGCCCUGUUCCCCUCCUCAGUUAGAUCUCCUUCCUUCUUCCAGAAAAACAAACUAACUUCUUCCCACUGCAAGGAACACGUCUGCACACACCACCCACCCCUUCCCCAGACCAGGUUCCCCGGCCGCACUUUUGGCACCCACCACCCAGCCCCUGCCGUGCAGCACCCCAACCCCAAAGCGCCCUCGGGACAGCCGCUGGGGACCCCUCCCGACCCUAUUCCCCCCUGCCCUCCGCCCCCGGCCCCCUGCCCCUCUCCGGGGCGAGCUGCCCCCGGAGCAGCCCCCCGCUUGCUCGGCUGCCCCCGGCCCCGUGUCCCCGGCCCCGCUCCGGUGCCGGCUGCCCGGGGCGGGGCGGAGGGGGCGGCCCCGGCCUCCCCCCGCUCCCCGCAAGGCGGAGCCAGCGCGGCGCGGGGCCGGCGAGCGGCGGCGGGACGCGGCCAGCCCAGCCCAGCCCAGCCCAGCACAGCACAGCACGGCUCAGCACGGCACGGCACGGCUCGGCACGGCUCGGCACAGCUCGGCACGGCUCGGCACGGCGAUGCAGCGCUGAGAUGGACGCCUCUCUCCGCCAGGUGGGCGCGGGGGGCACAGCGCUGGGAUGCUGCCGCCGCAGGGAGCGGCUCGGCGGGGGCGCGGGGAGGAUGCUGCCCGCGGCAGCGGAGCCCAAGUUUCACUUUUAUUAUUAUUAUUAUUUUUUUAAUUUUAAUCAGCGCUCCGAGGUGGCGUGCGGGGCUCCCCAGCACCGCCCGGGCGCUGCGUGGGGUCCGGGAGCCCACGCGUGGGCUGGGGGUGCCGGAGCCCGAGGGAUGCGCGGCUGCAGCCGCUCGUGCUGCGGGCUCGGUGCGUGCCGCACCAUAG
Molecule: long non-coding RNA, 1128 nt
Filed under: Anas platyrhynchos platyrhynchos (common mallard)
Lineage: Eukaryota; Metazoa; Chordata; Aves; Anseriformes; Anatidae
Description: lncRNA (ENSAPLG00000025511.1)
Source: RNAcentral